UACAGAGGUCUCAAGCGUUGUUCGGAUUCAUUGGGCGUAAAGGGUGCGUAGGCGGCGCGGUAAGUCGGGUGUGAAAUUUCGGAGCUUAACUCCGAAACUGCAUUUGAUACUGCGGUGCUUGAGGACUGGAGAGGAGACUGGAAUUCACGGUGUAGCAGUGAAAUGCGUAGAUAUCGUGAGGAAGACCAGUGGCGAAGGCGGGUCUCUGGACAGUUCCUGACGCUGAGGCACGAAGGUCAGGGGAGCAAACGGG
Molecule: ribosomal RNA, 253 nt
Filed under: uncultured bacterium
Lineage: Bacteria
Description: partial 16S ribosomal RNA
Rfam family: Bacterial small subunit ribosomal RNA
Source: RNAcentral